This 484-nucleotide ribosomal RNA is filed under the name uncultured bacterium. Its description in RNAcentral is "partial 16S ribosomal RNA". It matches the Rfam family "Bacterial small subunit ribosomal RNA", at positions 28 to 507 of the family's 1533-position model. The record is from RNAcentral.
AUUGAACGCUGGCGGCAUGCUUUACACAUGCAAGUCGAACGGCAGCGCGGGCUUCGGCCUGGCGGCGAGUGGCGAACGGGUGAGUAAUGCAUCGGAACGCGCCCAGUCGUGGGGGAUAGCCCGGCGAAAGCCGGAUUAAUACCGCAUACGACCUGAGGGUGAAAGCGGGGGACCGAAAGGCCUCGCGCUAUUGGAGCGGCCGAUGUCGGAUUAGCUAGUUGGUGGGGUAAAGGCUUACCAAGGCGACGAUCCAUAGCUGGUCUGAGAGGACGACCAGCCACACUGGGACUGAGACACGGCCCAGACUCCUACGGGAGGCAGCAGUGGGGAAUGUUGGACAAUGGGGGCAACCCUGAUCCAGCCAUGCCGCGUGCGGGAAGAAGGCCUUCGGGUUGUAAACCGCUUUUGUUCGGGAAGAAAUCCUCUGGGCUAAUACCCCGGGGGGAUGACGGUACCGGAAGAAUAAGCACCGGCUAACUACGUG